Molecule: long non-coding RNA, 1668 nt
Filed under: Zea mays
Lineage: Eukaryota; Viridiplantae; Streptophyta; Magnoliopsida; Poales; Poaceae
Description: drought-responsive long non-coding RNA
Source: RNAcentral
CCAGAACACUCCCCUUUCCCCUCCUCUCCUAGGGUUUCACAGUGACGCUUCCUCACCACCGCCGUCGCAGAGAUGCAGUCCCUCGUGCCCUUCAGUACGGCUUCGUCCGCAAGGCCUAUGGCGUCCGGACCGGCGAGACGCUGUGCCCGGGGAUCUCGUGCGAGGAGAGCGCCAUCCACAAGGUAUACGACAUCCUCGCCGCGUAGCUGCUCCUCACCACCGUCGUAUCCUCCCUCACUGUAGUGUCUCAAGCCUACGAAGCAGCCUCGCUCCACCUGCCGCCGUUGACUGGUCCACCCCUUCUGUAAUCCUUACUGUUUCACGCUCGCUCCGCAGGCUCGCUCCACCCACCACCGGUGGUCGGUAUGUACCCAGAUUUCUUUGGAUUCUUCGGUUGGUUUGCUGGUGUGCUCAAAUUUGGGUGGCUAAGCAGGUGGUUGGGCGAGACAUCUUGCCACCCACCAUGUUUAUGUUUGUGAUUUAUUCGUGUUUUUUUCCUCCCAUUAGGUCGACGAUGGUAGCCAUAAUCUAUACCAAUAUAUAAUAAUCAUAUAACAUAGCGGUUGUUGUUGAAUAAUUGCGCUUAAUAAUGAGUUUGAGCGGCAAGCCUUGAUUUUUUGGUACUUCUUGGUUUUAAAUGUUAGGUUGUGCAAUUCUCUAUAGCUGUAUGAGCAUUUGGAGCCUCGUUGCUGGACAAGGUGAUAUGCAUGGACUUUUUUUGCUACAAAAUUUAUGCUUCAAAUAGAAGCUCAUGUUCACAGGAAUUAACUCUCUUAUGUAUAGCAACAUUCUAUAGGCCUUGGAGUGUGCAUGCUUAUUUGUGCUAAUUGGGAGUGGUGAUAGGUACACUGACAUAAUUCUUGUUUCUAUUUUUAGGGGGUGAUUUAUUCAUUGGAGUUUACUGCAUUUAGGUUGCUCAAGAUUCAGUUUUGCUUAGACCAUCAGAUAAACUCUACUAGCACAUACUCUGACUUCAGAUUGGACAUGAGAGAGAGACUGCAAAUUUGUCUGAUGCAAAAAAAUCAUCGAUAAGUCAAACCUUCAGAUAAAGUCAGUCAUGGCAUUGGAUCAUCUAAAAAUUAUAUUUAUGUUCAAGCUAAGAAGGAGGCUCAUGUCAAAGAGGUACGUACAUUCUAUUCCUUUUCGACAAAAGUUGUUGUAGGAGGGACAAUCUAAAAGUAUUGUGCAAGAUAUAGAGCAUGCACUCAUCAUAUCUAAGUGAUCGGAGUGAUAUUGAUUAGCUUAUUAGAUGGAUAUUGGCCCAGUUUAUCUUUCAUUUUUUUCUAUAGCUGUUAGAAUUUUACUUUGCUCAGUUCAUACUAUAAAUAAUAUGAGACUCUUGUUUUGUGGUCCAAGUGUUUAGCGCUUAGGGUGCCUUGGAAGUACGCUAGCUUGUUGUCAUGAAGAAGUCAUUCAAGUUCCUUCCAGUGAGUUAUUAGUUCUUAUGUAUAUUUCUGUAACAUGUAAUUUUACAAUCUUUAUGCACAUUGGAGGUGUAUUUUACGACAUAAUUAAGCAUCAUAAACAAAUAUAUUUUAGAGUAGAAAGAAGGACAAUGCACUCCAUUAUGUUUUAAACAUUGACUUUUAUGUUUACCUCAUUGCAACCUUUUCAGGCACUUCCUAUAUUUCUUGACAUAAUGUUUCAUCAUGUUCUUGGUGUAAUAUU